GACGAACGCUGGCGGCGUGCCUAAUACAUGCAAGUAGAACGCUGAGGAGAGGAGCUUGCUCUUCUUGGCUGAGUUGCGAACGGGUGAGUAACGCGUAGGUAACCUGCCUUGUAGCGGGGGAUAACUAUUGGAAACGAUAGCUAAUACCGCAUAACAAUGGAUGACACAUGUCAUUUAUUUGAAAGGGGCAAUUGCUCCACUACAAGAUGGACCUGCGUUGUAUUAGCUAGUAGGUGGGGUAAUGGCUCACCUAGGCGACGAUACAUAGCCGACCUGAGAGGGUGAUCGGCCACACUGGGACUGAGACACGGCCCAGACUCCUACGGGAGGCAGCAGUAGGGAAUCUUCGGCAAUGGGGGCAACCCUGACCGAGCAACGCCGCGUGAGUGAAGAAGGUUGUCGGAUCGUAAAGCUCUGUUGUAAGUCAAGAACGGGUGUGAGAGUGGAAAGUUCACACUGUGACGGUAGCUUACCAGAAAGGGACGGCUAACUACGUG
RNAcentral lists this ribosomal RNA (497 nucleotides) under uncultured bacterium. RNAcentral describes it as "partial 16S ribosomal RNA". It matches the Rfam family "Bacterial small subunit ribosomal RNA", at positions 28 to 507 of the family's 1533-position model. The record is from RNAcentral.